GAAGAGAACCGGGAGAUCUUGUGAGCGCGCGUGCGUCUGAUGUUGCUAAAAAUCCAUUGGCUGGCAUCUCUGUGGUGGAAUGCUGCUGGGACCCCCUUCUAACCUCCUCUCAACCCUCCCCUUGAGUCCACCCAUCCACCCAUUAGGAAUUCCAGCAGGGCACUGUGGGUGGGAUGAAUGGCAUGAGAGCCAAGGAAAUGAAGUUCAGAGGGAUUGGCGUACAGUUAGGCCUCAUCAAGAUCUAUGAGAUCUACUGUCCACUUGAUUGAAGGCCAGGAGUGACAUAUCAGCUGUGGAAGGUGUGAG
Carassius auratus (goldfish) is the source of this 306-nucleotide long non-coding RNA. RefSeq lists it as uncharacterized. The record is from RefSeq and is a predicted model, not a curated record. The transcript has 3 exons. NCBI's taxonomy places the organism in Eukaryota, Metazoa, Chordata, Actinopteri, Cypriniformes, Cyprinidae.